AGACUCUUCCUCCGAGCCCCCAUCUCCCUCAUCUCCCCCAUCCCCCUCAUCCCCAGCUACAAGCCCUCAUCUCUCUCUGUCUCCCUCAUCUCUCUCGUCUCCCUCAUCUCCACCUACGAAGCCUCUCUCCCUGAAAAUCUCCCUGAACCACACAAUCCCUUAUCUCCUGGAACCACACGAACCCAUCUCAGCCCAUGGCCUCCAUCUCCACGAGCCAUCUCAUCUCCCUCUCGGCAUCCUUGACGUACAGAUUACAUAAUAUAUAGAGGAAAAACUACCGCUCGAAAAAAGGGGAAAGCAAGGUCGGCAGAGGACUUGGACCGGAACCAGAGGUUGGUGCUGAAAAUAGGGGGAAAAAGUUGCGAGUCACACCUGUAAGAUGUAGCAAUGCAAUGAGAGUGAGAGGAGAGGGACGAUGGCAGAGGAUUCUACAAAUGGAGAUGACAAUACCAGAAAUGAUCAAGACAUAGUUGAAAUGGAGUCUGGGAAUAUUCUCAAGAUUAAUUAGCACAAAAAGAUUAUAAUAGAGAACCUUGACAGUGAGCAGACAGAGUCAGAGGAUGGACUGGAUGAGAAUGAAUCAGAUUGGGUCGAGGUUCAGAGCUUUUGCAUUCUGGUGCUUGAUCAGAACUUUUGAAUGAUACUACCCCUCAAAAUGGGGCUUGGUCGACCCAAGCAACAGAGUCAGAGAAUGAGAAGGAAUCACAACAAUCUUCAAUAACUAUGGACCUCAGCUGCUACAGUUGGAAAGUUUGUAAUGCAACCAUUGGGCUAGACUAUAUCCCUUGCCUUGGCAAUUGGCAAGUUAUUAGAAUACGUGUCUAUAUCUUCGUUUGAAUUCAAAACCCACAUCAAC
Long non-coding RNA from Juglans regia (Persian walnut), 856 nucleotides. RefSeq lists it as uncharacterized. The transcript has 3 exons. NCBI's taxonomy places the organism in Eukaryota, Viridiplantae, Streptophyta, Magnoliopsida, Fagales, Juglandaceae. The record is from RefSeq and is a predicted model, not a curated record.